CAGGCAACAGCGCGAAUUAAAACAAAAAUCACCACAAACCCUCACCACCACACAGCGAUACUGGGAACCUGACCAGACCGACGUGGCGCCACGGCAAGGCUCUACCCCCUGCCCUGCAUCCCGGCCACCCGCAGCCACGGAGGGCUCGCUUGUGCCACAUCACGGAGGCAGGCAGAGGGACAGGCGGGCGCUCCCCACCCCACCGCGUACCGUACGCGCCCACGGCCGCCCCACACACAGCACAACAGCCGCUACAGCGGGGCAGGGGCCACCCAGCAACCGCCACCGCCCCCCCGCCCCACCUUCAGGGCCCCGCCGCUCCUCCUUGGCCCCCUCGGCGCUUCCCGUUCCUGCCUCGGCCAUGGCGGGCGGCCCGUGCCACCGCUCCACAGCGCCCCCGGACCCGGCGGCAUGCAGGAGGUGAGGUGAGCUGAGGUGGCAGCUUUUAGGCAGCAUGGCAUUCUGUGCGGCAGAGCCUGAACCCGGCUUGGCUGAGAGGCUACAGUCUGCUGGUACCCGCAUUUAAAACCUGCUUUCCUCUUUGAAAUUCAGCUGUGGGAUAGGCAUUUUACAAUCUCUGUGGUACUUCAAAUUUUCAUGCAUGAUAAAUAAAAUUACCUUAAAGGUUAAGCACUUGCUGAACUGCAAAUA
Molecule: long non-coding RNA, 651 nt
Organism: Strigops habroptila (Kakapo)
Lineage: Eukaryota; Metazoa; Chordata; Aves; Psittaciformes; Psittacidae
Exons: 2
Source: RefSeq, a predicted model, not a curated record